UCCCGUUGAUCCUGCGGGAGGCUGCUGCUAUUGGAGUUCGAUUAAGCCAUGCAAGUCAGGUCGUAAGACCGGCAGAUCGCUCAGUAACACGUCGAUAAUCUGCCCUUAGGUAAGGGAUAAGCUUGGGAAACUGAGUGUAAUACCUUAUAGGGGAAUAUGGCUGGAAGGCCUUUUCUUUGAAAGAUUACGCCUAAGGAUGAGUCGGCGGCGGAUUAGGUUGUUGGUGGGGUAAUGGCCCACCAAGCCGAUGAUCCGUAGGGGCCCUGAGAGGGGUAGCCCCGAGAAGGGCACUGAGAUACUGGCCCUAGCCCUACGGGGUGCAGCAGGCGCGAAACCUUUACAAUGCAGGAAACUGUGAUAGGGGAACUCCAAGUGCUCAUGCUUUGCAUGGGCUUUUGCCAAAUUAAAACCGUUUGGCGAAUAAGUGGUGGGUAAGACUGGUGCCAGCCGCCGCGGUAACACCAGCGCCACAAGUGGGAGCCAUGAUUAUUGGGCCUAAAGCGUCCGUAGCUGGUUAAGUAAAUCUCUUGUGAAAUUGUUGUGCUUAACGCAAUACCGUGCAGGAGACACUGCUUAACUCGGAACCGGUAGGGGUUAGAAGUAUGUUUGGGGUAGCGGUAAAAUGUUAUCAUCCUAAACAGACUACCUGUGGCGAAGGCGUCUAACUAGGACGGGUUCGACAGUGAGGGACGAAAGCCAGGGGAGCAAACCGGAUUAGAUACCCGAGUAGUCCUGGCCGUAAACGCUGCGAGCUAGGUGUUGCGUAUCUUUCGUGGAUAUGCAGUAUCGAAGCGAAGGCGUUAAGCUCGCCGCCUGGGAAGUAUGGUCGCAAGACUGAAACUUAAAGGAAUUGGCGGGGGAGCACCACAAGGGGAGCGGCGUGCGGUUUAAUCUAACUCAACGCAGAGAAUCUCACCAGAUGCGACGGCAGUAUGAAGGUCUGGCUGAAUGUCAUACCCAACGAGCCGAGAGGUAGUGCAUGGCCGUCGUCAGCUCGUGCCGUAAGGUGUCCAGUUAAGUCUGGCAACGAGCGAGACCUGUAUCUGCAAUUGCUAACGACUCCUCUGAGGAUCGAGUACCUUGCAGGAACUGCCCUGGAAACAGGGAGGAAGGUGCAGGCUACGGUAGGUCUGUAUGCUCCGAAUCUUCUGGGCUACACGCGCGCAACAAUGGUAGAGACAAAGGGAUGCGACUCCGAAAGGAGAGGCUAACCCCCAAACUCUAUCUCAGUCCAGAUCGAGGAUUGUAACUCAUCCUCGUGACGUUGGAAUCCCUAGUAAUCGCGUUUCAUCAUAUCGCGGUGAAUAUGUCCCUGCUCCUUGUACACACCGCCCGUCAAACCAACCGAGCAGGGUUAGGGUGAGUAUAUAUUUUUUGAUAUAUCCGAAUCCUAGCUCAGUGAGGUGGGUUAAGUCGUCACAAGGUA
Molecule: ribosomal RNA, 1426 nt
Filed under: metagenome
Description: bacterial SSU rRNA
Rfam family: Archaeal small subunit ribosomal RNA
Source: RNAcentral